This 465-nucleotide ribosomal RNA is filed under the name uncultured bacterium. Its description in RNAcentral is "partial 16S ribosomal RNA". It matches the Rfam family "Bacterial small subunit ribosomal RNA", at positions 339 to 795 of the family's 1533-position model. The record is from RNAcentral.
CUACGGGCGGCAGCAGUGGGGAAUAUUGGACAAUGGGCGAAAGCCUGAUCCAGCAAUGCCGCGUGUGCGAUGAAGGCCUGAGGGUUGUAAAGCACUUUCGUUGGGAAAGAAAUGCUCAAAGCUAAUACCUUUGAGAGUUGACGUUACCCAAAGAAGAAGCACCGGCUAACUCUGUGCCGAGCAGCCGCGGUAAUACAGAGGGUGCAAGCGUUAAUCGGAGUUACUGGGCGUAAAGGGCGCGUAGGCGGAUACUUAAGUCGGAUGUGAAAUCCCUGGGCUCAACCUAGGAACUGCGUUCGAUACUAAGUGCCUAGAGUAUGGUAGAGGAAAGUGGAAUUCCCGGUGUAGUGGUAAAAUACGUAGAUAUCGGGAGGAACAUCAGUGGCGAAGGCGACUUUCUGGGCCAAUACUGACGCUGAGGCGCGAAAGCGUGGGGAGCAAACAGGAUUAGAUACCCUAGUAGUC